AUUGAACGCUGGCGGCAGGCCUAACACAUGCAAGUCGAACGAGUGGCGGACGGGUGAGUAAUGUCGGGGAAACUGCCUGAUGGAGGGGGAUAACUACUGGAAACGGGAGCUAAUACCGCAUACCAUCGGAGGUUGCCAGAUGGGAUUAGCCAGUAGGUGGGGUAAAGGUUACCCUAGGCGACGAUCCCUAGCCGGUCUGACAGGAUGACCAGGCACACUGUAACAGAGACACGGUCCAGACUCCUACGGUCGGCAGCAGUGGGGAAGAUUGCACAAUGGGCCAAAGCCUGAUGCAGCCAUGCCGCGUGUAUGAAGAAGGCCUGCGGGCUGUAAAGUUCUUUCAGCGGGGAGGCGUUACCCGCAGAAGAAGCACCGGCUAACUCCGUGCCAGCAGCCGCGGUAAUAC
RNAcentral lists this ribosomal RNA (406 nucleotides) under uncultured bacterium. RNAcentral's name for it is "partial 16S ribosomal RNA". It matches the Rfam family "Bacterial small subunit ribosomal RNA", at positions 30 to 526 of the family's 1533-position model. The record is from RNAcentral.